UGAAUGCCAAUUCAUAUUUUCUCAUUUUCUUCUAGAUUCAUGGGCUGCUUCUUUCACAUGAUGCUUAUAUGACCAAAGCCACUGAAAUUGUUUCCAAGUCGUCUUUGAUUGAAAUAUCUUCACAAGUUAUUAAUUUUCAUAAUUUGAAGAUGGCGUCACAUAGGUCCCUUAGAGUACGGAAUAUAGAACCAUCUUCACCGAAGAUAAAUAAUCGUCAUAGCUGGUUGAUUUUUCCCCCGCCAGCAGAACGAUCACCAGCACCACCACAGCACCGCCUCCACCACUGAAUUCAUAGUAUAUAAGCAUGCAAAUUGCUUCGAUGGUUUAUUGAUAGAGAGCCAAGGAGGUCAGCAAGGGUUCAUAAGCCUAACUACAGAUAUGAGGGCUUUGUUUGAACAUUUAUCAAUCUCAUGCAGCCAUGCAUGUGGUCAUGCAUGUUGCAUGCAAAAUCAUGCAAGACUUAUCUACGUAUGGAUUAAAGAGUAGUUGUUUGUUGGAGCAAGGCAAGGAAAUUACCACGUCAAGCCACGUUGCGGAUCGAGUGGAGAAUCAAAUCAAGUGG
RNAcentral lists this long non-coding RNA (562 nucleotides) under Citrus sinensis (sweet orange). RNAcentral describes it as "long non-coding RNA (CSIN_LNC005464)". The record is from RNAcentral. Lineage: Eukaryota; Viridiplantae; Streptophyta; Magnoliopsida; Sapindales; Rutaceae.